UCCUCCAGCCAAGAGGAAUUUGAACGCUUUUCCCGAAUAGUGGAAAAUGAACGUCUCAUGGAGCUAGGGUCUGUCACCACCUGGAAACAUGAGCCCCCAGAAGAACACAAGAAAUAAACACACAGCCAAGCUUGUGGGACUUGAUUCCAUCCCAUUGCUUCUCACUUCCAGUGGAUGAUUCUGCCUCCUCCAUGUGAAGAACGGCUUUCAGAAGAGACACUUGCAUCUCUAAGGUCUCAGUUGUAUGUAGAUUGCUGUUCCUGGAAUUGUCCAUCAUCAGCUGGGUCCAUACAGGCCAACUGGAAUAUUUCCUGCGGGGAGAGUGGACUCAUCGAAGGGUAUCCACUCCGGCCACUCCUGCAAAGCAAUGCCAAGUUCAGAGCUGUAAGAAUGAGAGAGGAGCCCUGUCAUGUUCACCACGCUACCUCCAAAGCAAUCUCUACUUGAACAAUUCAGGGCUCUGGAAACACAGAUGGUUCCAAAGAACCAGCCUGCUGCUCCACCAGCAUCUCCGUUUCAGGAAAUGGACCAACAUCCACCUAGAAGCUCAAACCAGAAACCCGAGGGUCAUCUUGGAUUCCUCCCUGUCCUUCACACCAUGUAGCAAAUCAAUAUCAAUCACCAAAUCCUAUCCGUUCUGUGUAUUAAUUGCCUCUCAAGUCUGAUUCUGUCUCCCCAUUUCUAUCCUGUUUGUUAGU
Molecule: long non-coding RNA, 698 nt
Organism: Physeter macrocephalus (sperm whale)
Lineage: Eukaryota; Metazoa; Chordata; Mammalia; Artiodactyla; Physeteridae
Exons: 4
Source: RefSeq, a predicted model, not a curated record